UGAGCCAAUGGCGAGCUUCUUCUCAAUGCC
Molecule: non-coding RNA, 30 nt
Filed under: Rattus norvegicus (Norway rat)
Lineage: Eukaryota; Metazoa; Chordata; Mammalia; Rodentia; Muridae
Source: RNAcentral